CAGCCAUAUCAUGUUGAAACACUAGUUCCCAUAUGAUCACCAAAGUUAAGCAAUAUUGUGCCUGGUCAGUACCUAGAUGGGUGACCACUUGUGAAUGCCAGGUGCUGUAAG
RNAcentral lists this ribosomal RNA (111 nucleotides) under Acanthosepion pharaonis. Lineage: Eukaryota; Metazoa; Mollusca; Cephalopoda; Sepiida; Sepiidae. The record is from RNAcentral.